This 493-nucleotide ribosomal RNA is filed under the name uncultured bacterium. RNAcentral's name for it is "partial 16S ribosomal RNA". It matches the Rfam family "Bacterial small subunit ribosomal RNA", at positions 30 to 523 of the family's 1533-position model. The record is from RNAcentral.
AUUGAACGCUGGCGGCAUGCUUUACACAUGCAAGUCGAACGGUAACAGGUUAAGCUGACGAGUGGCGAACGGGUGAGUAAUGCAUCGGAACGUGCCCAAUCGUGGGGGAUAACGCAGCGAAAGCUGCGCUAAUACCGCAUACGAUCUGAGGAUAAAAGCGGGGGACCGUAAGGCCUCGCGCGAUCGGAGCGGCCGAUGUCAGAUUAGGUAGUUGGUGGGGUAAAGGCCCACCAAGCCGACGAUCUGUAGCUGGUCUGAGAGGACGACCAGCCACACUGGGACUGAGACACGGCCCAGACUCCUACGGGAGGCAGCAGUGGGGAAUUUUGGACAAUGGGCGAAAGCCUGAUCCAGCAAUGCCGCGUGCAGGAAGAAGGCCUUCGGGUUGUAAACUGCUUUUGUACGGAGCGAAAAGGUCCUUUCUAAUACAGGGGGCUCAUGACGGUACCGUAAGAAUAAGCACCGGCUAACUACGUGCCAGCCGCCGCAGUAA